AUUUUGCGUUAGGGAUAGCAGUGGAAAUCCUUUUUUUGGGAGGGUGCGGGCUUUUUCUGCCCGUGCCCGCCCAAAAAAAGAUUGCAACGGAUAGCCCGACCCUUG
Molecule: small RNA, 105 nt
Filed under: Flavobacterium branchiophilum
Lineage: Bacteria; Pseudomonadati; Bacteroidota; Flavobacteriia; Flavobacteriales; Flavobacteriaceae
Description: Flavo-1 RNA
Rfam family: Flavo-1 RNA
Source: Rfam by way of RNAcentral